AGAGUUUGAUCAUGGCUCAGAGUGAACGCUGGCGGCGUGCCUAAUACAUGCAAGUCGAACGAUGAAGCUUCUAGCUUGCUAGAAGUGGAUUAGUGGCGCACGGGUGAGUAAGGUAUAGUUAAUCUGCCCUACACAAGAGGACAACAGUUGGAAACGACUGCUAAUACUCUAUACUCCUGCUUAACACAAGUUGAGUAGGGAAAGUUUUUCGGUGUAGGAUGAGACUAUAUAGUAUCAGCUAGUUGGUAAGGUAAUGGCUUACCAAGGCUAUGACGCUUAACUGGUCUGAGAGGAUGAUCAGUCACACUGGAACUGAGACACGGUCCAGACUCCUACGGGAGGCAGCAGUAGGGAAUAUUGCGCAAUGGGGGAAACCCUGACGCAGCAACGCCGCGUGGAGGAUGACACUUUUCGGAGCGUAAACUCCUUUUCUUAGGGAAGAAUUCUGACGGUACCUAAGGAAUAAGCACCGG
This 473-nucleotide ribosomal RNA is filed under the name uncultured bacterium. RNAcentral describes it as "bacterial SSU rRNA". It matches the Rfam family "Bacterial small subunit ribosomal RNA", at positions 8 to 496 of the family's 1533-position model. The record is from RNAcentral.